RNAcentral lists this transfer RNA (73 nucleotides) under Caldilineaceae bacterium. Its description in RNAcentral is "tRNA-Thr". It matches the Rfam family "tRNA". From Rfam's summary of the family: Transfer RNA (tRNA) molecules are approximately 80 nucleotides in length. Their secondary structure includes four short double-helical elements and three loops (D, anti-codon, and T loops). Further hydrogen bonds mediate the characteristic L-shaped molecular structure. tRNAs have two regions of fundamental functional importance: the anti-codon, which is responsible for specific mRNA codon recognition, and the 3' end, to which the tRNAs corresponding amino acid is attached (by aminoacyl-tRNA synthetases). tRNAs cope with the degeneracy of the genetic code in two manners: having more than one tRNA (with a specific anti-codon) for a particular amino acid; and 'wobble' base-pairing, i.e. permitting non-standard base-pairing at the 3rd anti-codon position. Lineage: Bacteria; Bacillati; Chloroflexota; Caldilineae; Caldilineales; Caldilineaceae. The record is from RNAcentral.
GCCGUUGUAGCUCAGUUGGUAGAGCGAGGCACUCGUAAUGCCUAGGUCAUCGGUUCGAAUCCGAUCAACGGCU